CCUACGAGUGGCAGCAGUGAGGAAUAUUGGUCAAUGGUCGAGAGUCUGAAUCAGCCAAGUAGCGUGAAGGAUGACGGUCCUAUGGGUUGUAAACUUCUUUUAUAUGGGAAUAAAACAGGGUAUGCAUACACUCUUGUAUGUACCAUAUGAAUAAGGAUCGGCUAACUCCGUGCCAGCAGCCGCGGUAAUACGGAGGUGCCGAGCGUUAUCCGUCUUUAUUGGGUUUAAAGGGGGCUGAGGAGGAUGGUUAAGUCAGAUGUGAAAGUUUGCGGCUCAACUACAAAAUGGCAGUUGAAACUGGCAGUCUUGAGUAAGGUAGAGGUACGCGGAAUUCGUGGUGUAGCGGUGAAAGGCGUAGAUAUCACGAAGAACUCCGAUUGCGAAGGCAGCUUACUGGA
RNAcentral lists this ribosomal RNA (398 nucleotides) under uncultured bacterium. Its description in RNAcentral is "partial 16S ribosomal RNA". It matches the Rfam family "Bacterial small subunit ribosomal RNA", at positions 338 to 733 of the family's 1533-position model. The record is from RNAcentral.